Molecule: long non-coding RNA, 954 nt
Organism: Antechinus flavipes (yellow-footed antechinus)
Lineage: Eukaryota; Metazoa; Chordata; Mammalia; Dasyuromorphia; Dasyuridae
Exons: 3
Source: RefSeq, a predicted model, not a curated record
GCAGCAGGCUGGGAUCCCCUCUGGCCAGGGCACUGAGGGGAAGGGAGGCAGGACCCCCAGAGGGACAACAGACUGGGAGUACUGGGACCUGCUGUGACAAGGGGAGGGGAGGCAGUGUUAGGGCUGGUAGGGGGGACCCAGGAGGCAGAAGGGGGCUCGGCCCUGAGGCAGGAGGCUGCGGCUUACAGAUGUUAGACCUUUCCUAAGAAAGCAGCACUGACUCCAGGUGUCUCCCUUCUGCGGAUCCAUCUACACAGUGCUGAGUGAGAGUAAAUAUAAAUGAGAGAUAAUGAGAGGAUGAUGAGAGAUGAUGAGAGGAUGAUGAGAGACAAUGAGAGAUGAUGAGAGAUGAGAAGUUGAUGAGAGACAAUGAGAGAUAAUGAGAGGUUGAUGAGAGAUGAUGAGAUAAUGAGAGAUGAUGAGAGAUAAUGAGAGAUGAUGAGAGACAAUGAGAGACAAUGAGAGAUGAUGAGAUGAUGAUGAGAGAUGAUGAGAGGUUCAUGAGAGAUGAUGAGAUAAUGAGAGGAUGAUGAAAGAUAAUGAGAGACAAUGAGAGGUUGAUGAGAUGAUGAUGAGAGAUGAUGAGAGAUGAUGAGAAGUUGAUGAGAUGAUGAUGAAAGACGAUGAGAGGUUGAUGAGAUGAUGAUGAGAGACGAUGAGAGGUUGAUGAGAGACAAUGAAAGAUGAUGAGAGAUGAUGAGAGGAUGAUGAGAGACAAUGAGAGGUUGAUGAGAUGAUGAGGAGAGAUGAUGAGAGAUGAUGAGAAGUUGAUGAGAGACAAUGAGAGAUGAUGAGAUGAUGAGAGAUGAUGAGAGGUUCAUGAGAGAUGAUGAGAUAAUGAGGAUGAUGAAAGAUAAUGAGAGACAAUGAGAGGUUGAUGAGAUGAUGAGGAGAGAUGAUGAGAGAUGAUGAGAAGUUGAUGAGAGACAAUGAGAGAUGAUGAGAUGAUGAUGA